This 96-nucleotide ribosomal RNA is filed under the name Streptomyces sp. adm13(2018). RNAcentral describes it as "partial 16S ribosomal RNA". The stretch from base 1 to 86 matches the Rfam family "Bacterial small subunit ribosomal RNA", at positions 1448 to 1533 of the family's 1533-position model. The record is from RNAcentral. Lineage: Bacteria; Bacillati; Actinomycetota; Actinomycetes; Kitasatosporales; Streptomycetaceae.
GGGAGCUGUCGAAGGUGGGACUGGCGAUUGGGACGAAGUCGUAACAAGGUAGCCGUACCGGAAGGUGCGGCUGGAUCACCUCCUUUCUAAGGAGCA